CAAGUUAGGGCCACAAUGGACAGCUUCCAAGAAGUCCUAAGAUAGUCCCAGGACAACAGAGUGUAAAAUUGUAGCAGACAGGUUAAUACUCUUCACCCUUAUCCUCUCUCUCAGCACUAUUUGCUCCAAUUUCUUCAUACUCCUUCUCAAAGGCAUGGGCCUCAGAAAACUCUCCUUCCUCCAUGCCCUCAUCCACAUACCAGUACACACAGGCAUGCUUGGCAUACAUCAGGUCAAAGUUGUGGUCCAGGCGAGCCCUGGCCUCAGCAAUGACUGUGGUGUUGCUCAGCAUACACACAGCUGCCUGUACUUUGGCCAGGUCUCCACCAGGUACCACACGGUUGGAGGCUGGUAAUUAGUGCCAACUUUGAAGCCAGUGGGGCACCAGUCCACAAACUAGAUGGUACACUUGGUCUUGAUGGUGGCAAUGGCAGCAUUGACAUCUUUGGGAACCUCAUCAGCAUGGUACUACAGGCAGAAAGCCAUGUAUUUACCAUGGCAAGGAUCACAUUUGGAGCCAUCUGGUUAGCUGGCUCAAAGCAUGCAUUGGUGAUCUCUGCUGCAGUAAGCUGUUCAUGGUAGGCUUUCUCAGCAGAGAUGACAGGGCAUAUGUGGCCAGAGGUAAGUGGAUGCA
RNAcentral lists this long non-coding RNA (634 nucleotides) under Lynx pardinus (Iberian lynx). Lineage: Eukaryota; Metazoa; Chordata; Mammalia; Carnivora; Felidae. The record is from RNAcentral.